AAUGUCGCUCAGUGGUAGAGUGCUUGCCUAGCAUGUGUGAGGCCCUAAGUUCUAGUCUUAGCAUU
RNAcentral lists this transfer RNA (65 nucleotides) under Ictidomys tridecemlineatus (thirteen-lined ground squirrel). RNAcentral describes it as "Spermophilus tridecemlineatus (thirteen-lined ground squirrel) tRNA". It matches the Rfam family "tRNA". Rfam says of the family: Transfer RNA (tRNA) molecules are approximately 80 nucleotides in length. Their secondary structure includes four short double-helical elements and three loops (D, anti-codon, and T loops). RNAcentral also lists the same sequence under 1 other name. The record is from Rfam by way of RNAcentral. Lineage: Eukaryota; Metazoa; Chordata; Mammalia; Rodentia; Sciuridae.